Amblyraja radiata (thorny skate) is the source of this 3754-nucleotide long non-coding RNA. RefSeq lists it as uncharacterized. The transcript is spliced from 2 exons. Lineage: Eukaryota; Metazoa; Chordata; Chondrichthyes; Rajiformes; Rajidae. The record is from RefSeq and is a predicted model, not a curated record.
GCCAAUCGGCCCUUCGAGCCUGCACCGCCAUUCAAUAUGAUCAUGGCUGAUCAUCCAACUCAGUAUCCUGUACCUGCCUUCUCUCCAUACCCAUACCGCCUGAUCCCUUUAGCCACAAGGGUCACAUCUAACAGAAAUCUGCGAUCUGAAUGAUCAAAGUACCUGCCUGCAAGUAUGCAUCAGCAAAUCAGAUUCAGAAAAAAGACACCGUUUCUUAAUGAAAGGUUAGCAUUCUUUGGUAAAUUCAGGAAUGUUCUGCCCCAGAAAUAUAGAUUUAUUGUAAACACUGGCAGAAAGUCAAGAAAAAAAUAGGAUUGCAAUGCUACCAGAACUAGAAAGAGCUUGCAGGUAUUAAUUUUAAUAAAGGCAGAAAAUGAAUUUAAAUAACCUUUCAUGACCUCAGGUUUUACCAAAGUGCUUUACUAUGUGCACUGUGUGUACUAGUUUGAAAUAUCGACUUUAUUAUAAUGUGGAGUAACCUUUUAAAUUACACAGAGCAAAUUUCUGUGAGAUCUUCUGUUUUUUGUUGCUGUUUGUUGAAGAAUUAAUAUUGGCCACAACAUGGAAGGAAUCUCCUAUUCUUCAUAUGGGAUAUUUUAUGCCUGCGGGGGGAGAUGUAAGCUUGGUUUAACAUGUCAAAAGUUCUGCAUCUAUGUGCUGUUGAGAUUAUGUCAUCAACUCUCUGGUAUUCACCUUCAGUAGAUUUCCAGCAGAAUUUGCCCGGAUCUGACUAUGGUUAUCCAUUUCCUAUUCUUCAUUCCUCUCACUUCCAAAGGGACUGUCUCAUCAUGUUUAGUCCCAUUACCGAUGCUCUCUCUCUCUCUUGCGCUAUCUCUCUAUCUAUCUAUCUAUCUAUCUAUCUAUCUAUCUAUCUAUCUAUCUAUCUAUCUAUCUAUCUAUCUAUCUAUCUAUCUCUCUAUCUCUCUAUCUCUCUAUCGCUCUAUCUCUCUAUCGCUCUAUCUCUCUAUCUCUCUAUCGCUCUAUCUCUCUAUCUCUCUAUCGCUCUCGCUCUCGCUCUCUCUCUCUCUGAUCAUCUUUCACACUGCAGGAGUUGACGGAGCAAGUGCCAGAUUUACUGACAGUGAAAACAUUAGAGCUAAGCAUGAGAGCAAAAUACCACAGAAAUCUGAAAUGGUGCAGAAAAUGCUGUAAAUAUCCAGCAGAUCAAGCAGCCUCUGUGACAGAGAAAUAGUUAACGUGUCAGGUCGCCGAUCUUUUAUAUUUCCAGCAUUUUCUUCUUUAUUACAGCUGUGGAAUUCAGCCUCCUCCCCAAACCUAUACUGUUUUUUUUAGAUGAGUAGGUACCUAGACUAGUUUUCAGUUCCUCAUUUACCACACAAGGAUUAAUUCUGCCAUUAUUACUCACUACUGCUGCCCCCUAGUGUUAUGCUCCAUACAUUACAAGCUUUUUAAGGAUUGAUCAAGAAGCUGUCCUUGCCUAAGAUAGACACAAAAUGCUGGAGUAACUCAGCAUGGCAGGCAACAUCUCUGGAGGGAAGGAAUGCCCUACUCCCCAGAGAUGCUGCCUGUCCCGCUGAGUUACUCCAGCAUUUUGUGUUUAUCUUCGGUUUAAACCUGCAUCUGCAGUUCUUUUCUGCACAGUUAUCCUUGCCUGUUCAGAAUCUGUUAACGCUGUUGCUCAUUUUAUAAAUUACUGACUAUUUAAAGUUAAGGCUUGAAUCCAUGGUGUACCACAUGCGGGCUUUGGUCACAUCCAGCCUACACAACACUUCCACCUGGCCUUUCUGCACACUAGCAGCCCGAACAUUCCCACGGGGUGAGCUGCAGUCUCAUUAGGCAACCCGUGUACUCAGUAUGCCAGCUGUCCCAGCCACAUUUACAGACCUAAGCCAUGGAAUUGGCUUCUGCCCUGUGAGGUUUUCUGCUGUCCAUAAGGUCCUAAUGCUAAUGGUGUUAACUUUCUAAUCUCGAUGGGUUGAGAAAUGGGACUUAAUCAGAUGUAGGCUACAGUACUGUGAAACCAUGGUACGUAAUACCUGUCUCAGGGUCUCUCUAGGAUCUAAAUAGUGGUUGAUACUUGUUUCAACUGUUACUACUCAACAAUAAGAGAGAGUCUUUACUUUUAAAAUGAAUUUUGAUGAUGUUGAUGUAAUUGGUAAGAUGGAAAGAAACUCUAGAAUGUGACAAGUGGAACAGCAAGGGGUUAGUGAGGGGAACAGUGAGAACUGUAGCAUUUGUUUAAACAUAGUUUAAGUUAUCAGGAUCUUGUUGGGUAUAUUUAAAUAAAACUGGGUUCCUGUGAGUGGCCGUCAGAAAUGGCUUGGAUUGUAAAACCUGGCUGCCUCCUAAAAACAACGUUGUUUCCCACUGAUUUACAUUUAGAUUUUUCAUUAAAACAACUGUAUUGUUCAUGCUUGUUCAUCUUUUCUCUGAUUAAUGUGUUACCACAUGAAUAAGACCAGCGUUCCAAUGUAAAACCAGUACAACUGUUGGAAUGUAACCUUGUCCAGGCCAAAGAUGACAGUGUUUAACUAUGGUAUACUGCUGUCAACUCUUCACAAGAUAUGCUUCACAGUGUGUGUAAGCUGAGGUAAGAUAUAAAGAAACUGGGCAUCGAUUUGAUUGAACAAUUCUCAGCUAUGUUUUGUUCCCAAUCCUCCAAGUUUCAAGUUAUUAUCUAUCUGGAUUUCCACUGUCUGCAUCGCUUUCUUGGUUUCCGUCUGUUUUCAGAAACAUUGUAACUUCGUUUUUUUUAAAUCAAGGCACCAGCAUUAAUUGAUUUGUAAGCAGUUUUGGCAUCUCUCUUGCACUCAAAAUAUAAUGGUCCCAAUUUUAACCUUCUGAUGGUGGUAAUGAAGAUCUUGAUUGGGCAUCAGCCAAUGAUUUAAUUAUCUGUGGCAAGAUUUGACUAACAAUAAUAAUCAGAGCUCAAAACUUUUCUUGCAUUUACUGGGAAAAACCUGCAAUAAAGUUUAUGUUGGGAAAAAAAUGUUGAUGUAAGUUGGUAUGGUAAGUUAUUUAUUAUCCCUUGAUUUGAUCACACCGAGCUAUAAAUUACACGCAGCUUUUUAGCACCUUAAUAUCUCAAUUGACCAAUAUAUAUAUAUUGAUUGCUUGUCAUUGCCACAAAUUAGGUUAAAAUCCUGCCCAUUAUUUGAAGAUAUUUUCUGAGCUUUUUUUUAUAGGAGCUAGAAAGAUGCUUUGUUUCAAUCAAUUUGUGUUUUUAUAUUUGGUAAUUAGGAAAGAGCAAAUUUUAUGGAUAUUCCCUUUACUAAAAGCAUAACUUGUCAAUAUUUCUGAUGUUCAUUUGCCUAGCUGAACCUGACAAUACAUGACCCAUGUUAUUUUUAUACAGAAUGGUGAUUAAAAAUAACCAAGGUAAUGUCAGAGUGAAAAUUGCUCAAAAUAUUUUGAUAAAUUAAAAAUUGAUUCCCAUCUGGAAUUUAACAAUGAAAACAAGUGAAUUCAUACAAGUUUCUCAAAGGGAGUAUCAGAUAAAAGUUUUUUUUCUCAUCCCUUUUGUUGUGGGUUAAUUUUAUGAAAGCAUUUCAAAAAAUAUGUUCCUGAAACCUUUUGUAAAGAUAAACAUUAUGUUGAUUCUGGUUCUUAAUAAAUACAUAUUGUACAGUUUCACAGUAGACUGCUUCACUAUGUAUACUGGGUUUUUAAGAAAAAUAACGCAGUUUUGUUGCUGUUGUAAACAGUUGCAUAAUUGUAACAUUCCUCAGUUCUGUGACCAAAUGCUUCCCAUGUUGCUCACAUGAUCAGGUAUAUAAAGUCUUUUUGAGACCUA